AUUGAACGCUGGCGGCAUGCCUUACACAUGCAAGUCGAACGGCAGCGGGGUAGUGCUUGCACUACUGCCGGCGAGUGGCGAACGGGUGAGUAAUAUAUCGGAACGUACCGAGUAAUGGGGGAUAACCAAUCGAAAGAUUGGCUAAUACCGCAUACGUCCUGAGGGAGAAAGCGGGGGAUCGCAAGACCUCGCGUUAUUCGAGCGGCCGAUAACUGAUUAGCUAGUUGGUGGGGUAAAGGCCUACCAAGGCGACGAUCAGUAGCGGGUCUGAGAGGACGAUCCGCCACACUGGGACUGAGACACGGCCCAGACUCCUACGGGAGGCAGCAGUGGGGAAUUUUGGACAAUGGGGGCAACCCUGAUCCAGCCAUGCCGCGUGUAUGAAGAAGGCCUUCGAGUUGUAAAGUACUUUUGUUAGGGAAGAAAAGGGAAGUGCUAAUACCACUUUUUGCUGACGGUACCUAAAGAAUAAGCACCGGCUAACUACGUG
RNAcentral lists this ribosomal RNA (490 nucleotides) under uncultured bacterium. Its description in RNAcentral is "partial 16S ribosomal RNA". It matches the Rfam family "Bacterial small subunit ribosomal RNA", at positions 30 to 507 of the family's 1533-position model. The record is from RNAcentral.